UGGCGGACGGGUGAGUAACGCGUCGGUAACCGUGCCUUACACACGGGCGGAGUAACACCUGGAAACAGGUGCUAAUACCGCAUAAGCGCACAGGGCCGCAUGGCCCCGGUGUGAAAAACUCCGGUGGUGUAAGAUGGACCCGCGUCUGAUUAGCUUGUUGGCCGGGGUAGAGGCCCACCAAGGCGACGAUCAGUAGCCGGCCUGAGAGGGUGAACGGCCACAUUGGGACUGAGACACGGCCCAAACUCCUACGGAAGGCAGCAG
RNAcentral lists this ribosomal RNA (264 nucleotides) under uncultured bacterium. RNAcentral describes it as "partial 16S ribosomal RNA". It matches the Rfam family "Bacterial small subunit ribosomal RNA", at positions 96 to 354 of the family's 1533-position model. The record is from RNAcentral.